CCUACGGGAGGCAGCAGUGAGGAAUAUUGGUCAAUGGGCGAGAGCCUGAACCAGCCAAGUCGCGUGAAGGAUGAAGGAUCUCUGGUUUGUAAACUUCUUCUAUAUGGGAGUAAAGUGAGGAACGUGUUCCUUUUUGUAUGUACCAUAUGAAUAAGCAUCGGCUAACUCCGUGCCAGCAGCCGCGGUACUACGGAGGAUGCGAGCGUUAUCCGGAUUUAUUGGGUUUAAAGGGUGCGUAGGUGGUUAAUUAAGUCAGCGGUGAAAGUUUGUGGCUCAACCAUAAAAUUGCCGUUGAAACUGGUUGACUUGAGUAUAUGUGAGGUAGGCGGAAUGCGUGGUGUAGCGGUGAAAUGCAUAGAUAUCACGCAGAACUCCGAUUGCGAAGGCAGCUUACUAAACUAUAACUGACACUGAAGCACGAAAGCGUGGGGAGCAAACAGGAUUAGAUACCCCUGUAGUC
Molecule: ribosomal RNA, 460 nt
Filed under: uncultured bacterium
Lineage: Bacteria
Description: partial 16S ribosomal RNA
Rfam family: Bacterial small subunit ribosomal RNA
Source: RNAcentral